RNAcentral lists this long non-coding RNA (1061 nucleotides) under Piliocolobus tephrosceles (Ugandan red Colobus). RNAcentral describes it as "lncRNA (ENSPTEG00000014526.1)". Lineage: Eukaryota; Metazoa; Chordata; Mammalia; Primates; Cercopithecidae. The record is from RNAcentral.
UGUGAUAAUGACGAUAGUGAUAGUAAAAGUAAAAAAAAAUAUAAAUUAUGUAUCACCUGAAUUGUCGUCAGGUAUGAGAAAAGAUGCAGUAAUUGAUGAAAAUAGUAGUAGUAAGUUAAAAAAUACAUACGACGUAGGUAAUAAUAAUUUAAAAAAUGAUUUCGACAAUUAUGAAGAUGAUUAUUUAAAAAAAACGAUAAGCUGUAUAAGUAACUUUUUACAUAAUGAUAGUGAUAAAAAAAUAUUAAAUGAGUAUAAUUUUGAAUACUUGAUAAAACCAUUUGAUUUGGUAUUACCUGUGGAACAAUCGAGUAACAAAAAAGAAUUAAAAGCUCGAUUAGAGAUAAGUGAUAAUUGGGAAGGUAUAACUUUAAGAAAAACACAAAUAACAAGAAUAAUCGAGAUAAUGAAUGAAGCUAAUAAUUCUAGAAAUGAAACAAAUAAAUUAUUAUUAAAGUAUGCAUAUACUGUUAAAUUAGAUAUUGAAUCUUUAAGAACUGAAACAAAGAAUGAAUUUAUGAAUCUAUAUAAUAAAUUAUUAGGGAGAAAAUAUAAUGUAUCUGAAAAUGAGUUAACUAUGUCUGAGUUAAACAGAUUACAAAUUUUAUAUGAUGUUGUAGGUGUUCGUCAUUUAGCAAAAUGGCGAUUACAAUGUAAAAAAAUGUUAGAAAAAUUAGUAGAAGAAAAAAAUUUAAAAAAAAAAAAUCUAUACGAUUCAAUAUAUAAACAACAAUCUUGGUGGUCUUGGGUAACUGGAAAUAAAAAAGAUAUUGAAAAUAAGGUACAAUCUAUUUUACAAAGUGAACAAAAUAUUAUUAAUGAAAAAGAGUUAUAUAUUUUACAAGAAGCAGUAACAAAUGAAGAUGAUUUUGAUGUGGUUAUACCAACUAAAUAUGAUUUACAAUUUAAACUUUCCCAUUUCGCAAUUCAUGUAUAUGAUGAUUGUAAAAAGAAAAAAAAACAUGUUAAAUGGGACAUACAAACAACAGAUAAAUCGAAUAUAUUAGUAAAAGACAAAUAUAAAAGUAUAAUUGAAUUAAAUACAUGCGAUUCAAAUUUUG